RNAcentral lists this ribosomal RNA (225 nucleotides) under uncultured bacterium. RNAcentral's name for it is "partial 16S ribosomal RNA". It matches the Rfam family "Bacterial small subunit ribosomal RNA", at positions 111 to 334 of the family's 1533-position model. The record is from RNAcentral.
UAACGCGUGAGGAACCUGCCUCAAAGAGGGGGACAACAGUUGGAAACGACUGCUAAUACCGCAUAAGCCCACAGCUCGGCAUCGAGCAGAGGGAAAGGGAGUGAUCCGCUUUGAGAUGGCCUCGCGUCCGAUUAGCUAGUUGGUGAGGUAAUGGCCCACCAAGGCGACGAUCGGUAGCCGGACUGAGAGGUUGAACGGCCACAUUGGGACUGAGACACGGCCCAG